CUACGUGCCAGCAGCCGCGGUAAUACGUAGGGUGCGAGCGUUGUCCGGAAUUACUGGGCGUAAAGAGCUCGUAGGUGGUUUGUUGCGUCGUCUGUGAAAUUCCGGGGCUUAACUUCGGGGUGGCAGGCGAUACGGGCAUAACUAGAGUGCUGUAGGGGAGACUGGAAUUCCUGGUGUAGCGGUGGAAUGCGCAGAUAUCAGGAGGAACACCGAUGGCGAAGGCAGGUCUCUGGGCUGUAACUGACGCUGAGAAGCGAAAGCAUGGGGAGCGAACAGGAUUAGAUACCCUGGUAGUCCAUGCCGUAAACGUUGGGCACUAGGUGUGGGGGACAUUCCACGUUUUCCGCGCCGUAGCUAACGCAUUAAGUGCCCCGCCUGGGGAGUACGGCCGCAAGGCUAAAACUCAAAGAAAUUGACGGGGGCCCGCACAAGCGGCGGAGCAUGCGGAUUAAUUCGAUGCAACGCGAAGAACCUUACUAAGGCUUGACAU
RNAcentral lists this ribosomal RNA (490 nucleotides) under uncultured bacterium. Its description in RNAcentral is "bacterial SSU rRNA". It matches the Rfam family "Bacterial small subunit ribosomal RNA", at positions 501 to 987 of the family's 1533-position model. The record is from RNAcentral.